CAGAAUUCCGCGAAUCAUCGAGUCUUUGAACGCAAGUUGCGCCCGAGGCUUGACCAAGGGCAUCCCUGCCAGAGCGUCACCGCGACACCCACCGAUCCGCUCCCGGAGUGCGACCGAGUGAAGCUGGGCCAUCCGAAUGGGGGCCACACCACCACCCGGGACUUCGUGUGCCUUGGAGGUGGGGUGGCGGAUUGGGUUGGCUGAAAUGGAGGCAAUUCGGCCGCCGUGGUGACACAGCCCGCGAUCAGGUGAUCCGGGUCUCAUCUUGGAACUACUUCUAGGUGUGGUGCUGUGUCUCCCAGUUGGUACCGAUGAGGAGGAUGAAUUCCAAAGCAGGUCCCGGACUCCCCCGCCCUGCUGCGAGGGGAGUGUCCCGAGGUGUAACGUCACGCAUCAGACCUCUGAUCAGGGAAGACCACCCGCUGAAUU
Molecule: ribosomal RNA, 429 nt
Filed under: Dicranoloma brevisetum
Lineage: Eukaryota; Viridiplantae; Streptophyta; Bryopsida; Dicranales; Dicranaceae
Description: eukaryotic LSU rRNA
Rfam family: 5.8S ribosomal RNA (bases 1-79)
Source: RNAcentral